AUUGAACGCUGGCGGCAGGCUUAACACAUGCAAGUCGAGCGGUAGCACAGAGAGCUUGCUCUUGGGUGACAAGCGGCGGACGGGUGAGUAACGCGUAGGAAUCUACCUAGUAGUGGGGGACAACAGUUGGAAACGACUGCUAAUACCGCAUACGCCCUAAGGGGGAAAGCGGGGGAUCUUCGGACCUCGUGCUAUUAGAUGAGCCUGCGUGAGAUUAGCUAGUUGGUGAGGUAAAGGCUCACCAAGGCGACGAUCUCUAGCUGGUCUGAGAGGAUGAUCAGCCACACUGGGACUGAGACACGGCCCAGACUCCUNACGGGAGGCAGCAGUGGGGAAUAUUGGACAAUGGGCGCAAGCCUGAUCCAGCCAUGCCGCGUGUGUGAAGAAGGCCUUCGGGUUGUAAAGCACUUUCAGAAGGGAGGAAAGGUUGUGUGUUAAUAGCACAUAGCUGUGACGUACCUUCAGAAGAAGCACCG
Molecule: ribosomal RNA, 476 nt
Filed under: uncultured bacterium
Lineage: Bacteria
Description: bacterial SSU rRNA
Rfam family: Bacterial small subunit ribosomal RNA
Source: RNAcentral